RNAcentral lists this ribosomal RNA (742 nucleotides) under uncultured bacterium. RNAcentral's name for it is "bacterial SSU rRNA". It matches the Rfam family "Bacterial small subunit ribosomal RNA", at positions 8 to 796 of the family's 1533-position model. The record is from RNAcentral.
AGAGUUUGAUCAUGGCUCAGGACGAACGCUGGCGGUGUGCUUCACACAUGCAAGUCGAACGGAUCCUUCGGGAUUAGUGGCGGACGGGUGAGUAACACGUGGGAACGUGCCUUUUGGUUCGGAACAACUCAGGGAAACUUGAGCUAAUACCGGAUAAGCCUUUCGAGGGAAAGAUUUAUCGCCAUUAGAGCGGCCCGCGUAGGAUUAGCUAGUUGGUGGGGUAAAGGCCCACCAAGGCUACGAUCCUUAGCUGGUCUGAGAGGAUGAUCAGCCACAUUGGGACUGAGACACGGCCCAAACUCCUACGGGAGGCAGCAGUGGGGAAUCUUGCGCAAUGGGCGAAAGCCUGACGCAGCCAUGCCGCGUGAAUGAUGAAGGUCUUAGGAUUGUAAAAUUCUUUCACCGAGGACGAUAAUGACGGUACUCGGAGAAGAAGCCCCGGCUAACUUCGUGCCAGCAGCCGCGGUAAUACGAAGGGGGCUAGCGUUGCUCGGAAUUACUGGGCGUAAAGGGAGCGUAGGCGGAUAGUUUAGUCAGAGGUGAAAGCCCAGGGCUCAACCUUGGAAUUGCCUUUGAUACUGGCUAUCUUGAGUACGGAAGAGGUAUGUGGAACUCCGAGUGUAGAGGUGAAAUUCGUAGAUAUUCGGAAGAACACCAGUGGCGAAGGCGACAUACUGGUCCGUUACUGACGCUGAGGCUCGAAAGCGUGGGGAGCAAACAGGAUUAGAUACCCCGGUAGUCC